This 482-nucleotide ribosomal RNA is filed under the name uncultured bacterium. RNAcentral's name for it is "bacterial SSU rRNA". It matches the Rfam family "Bacterial small subunit ribosomal RNA", at positions 15 to 507 of the family's 1533-position model. The record is from RNAcentral.
GAUCAUGGCUCAGGAUGAACGCUGGCGGCGUGCUUAACACAUGCAAGUCGAACGGAGAUGCCGGAGUGCUUGCACUUUGGCAGACUGAGUGGCGGACGGGUGAGUAACGCGUGGGUAACCUGCCUUAUACAGGGGGAUAACAGUUGGAAACGACUGCUAAUACCGCAUAAGCGCACGGUAUCGCAUGAUACAGUGUGAAAAACUCCGGUGGUAUAAGAUGGACCCGCGUCUGAUUAGCUUGUUGGUGAGGUAACGGCCCACCAAGGCGACGAUCAGUAGCCGGCCUGAGAGGGUGAACGGCCACAUUGGGACUGAGACACGGCCCAAACUCCUACGGGAGGCAGCAGUGGGGAAUAUUGCACAAUGGGGGAAACCCUGAUGCAGCGACGCCGCGUGAGUGAUGAAGUAUUUCGGUAUGUAAAACUCUAUCAGCAGGGAAGAUAAUGACGGUACCUGACUAAGAAGCACCGGCUAAAUACGUG